UACGUAGGGGGCAAGCGUUGUCCGGAAUCAUUGGGCGUAAAGCGCGCGUAGGCGGCCCUGUAAGUCCGUUGUGAAAGUCAAAGGCUCAACCUUUGAAAGCCGAUGGAUACUGCAGGGCUAGAGUCCGGAAGAGGCGAGUGGAAUUCCUGGUGUAGCGGUGAAAUGCGCAGAUAUCAGGAAGAACACCCGUGGCGAAGGCGGCUCUCUGGGACGGUACUGACGCUGAGACGCGAAAGCGUGGGGAGCGAACAGG
RNAcentral lists this ribosomal RNA (253 nucleotides) under uncultured bacterium. RNAcentral's name for it is "partial 16S ribosomal RNA". It matches the Rfam family "Bacterial small subunit ribosomal RNA", at positions 524 to 776 of the family's 1533-position model. The record is from RNAcentral.